This 497-nucleotide ribosomal RNA is filed under the name uncultured bacterium. RNAcentral describes it as "partial 16S ribosomal RNA". It matches the Rfam family "Bacterial small subunit ribosomal RNA", at positions 28 to 507 of the family's 1533-position model. The record is from RNAcentral.
GAUGAACGCUGGCGGCGUGCCUAAUACAUGCAAGUCGAGCGAACAGACGAGGAUCUUGCUCCUCUGACGUUAGCGGCGGACGGGUGAGUAACACGUGGAUCACCUCCCUAUAAUACUGGGAUAACUUCGGGAAACCGGAGCUAAUACCGGAUAAUAUCUUGAACCGCAUGGUUCAAUAGUGAAAGACGGUUUUGCUGUCACUUAUAGAUGGAUCCGCGCUGCAUUAGCUAGUUGGUAAGGUAACGGCUUACCAAGGCAACGAUGCGUAGCCGACCUGAGAGGGUGAUAGGCCACACUAGAACUGAGACACGGACCAGACGCCUACGGGAGGCAGCAGUAGGGAAUCUUCCGCAAUGGGCGAAAGCCUGACGGAGCAACGCCGCGUGAGUGAUGAAGGUCUUCGGAUCGUAAAACUCUGUUAUUAGGGAAGAACAAAUGUGUAAGUAAAUGUGCACGUCUUGACGGUACCUAAUCAGAAAGCCACGGCUAACUACGUG